Molecule: ribosomal RNA, 194 nt
Filed under: uncultured bacterium
Lineage: Bacteria
Description: partial 16S ribosomal RNA
Rfam family: Bacterial small subunit ribosomal RNA
Source: RNAcentral
CCUACGGGAGGCAGCAGUGGGGAAUAUUGCACAAUGGGCGCAAGCCUGAUGCAGCCAUGCCGCGUGUAUGAAGAAGGCCUUCGGGUUGUAAAGUACUUUCAGUCGGGAGGAAGGUGGUAAGGUUAAUAACCUUAUCAAUUGACGUUACCGACAGAAGAAGCACCGGCUAACUCCGUGCCAGCAGCCGCGGUAAU